This 459-nucleotide ribosomal RNA is filed under the name uncultured bacterium. RNAcentral's name for it is "partial 16S ribosomal RNA". It matches the Rfam family "Bacterial small subunit ribosomal RNA", at positions 338 to 795 of the family's 1533-position model. The record is from RNAcentral.
CCUACGGGUGACAGCAGUGAGGAAUAUUGGUCAAUGGGCGGAAGCCUGAACCAGCCAAGUAGCGUGCGGGAUGAAGGCCCUACGGGUCGUAAACCGCUUUUUCACGGGGAUAACACCCUCCCCUUGUGGAGGUCUGCAGGUACCGUGCGAAUAACGGCCGGUAAAUCCCGUCCCAGCAGCCGCGGUAAUACGGAAGGCCCGAGCGUUAUCCGGAUUCAUUGGGCUAAAGGGGAGCGUAGGUGGGCGUUCAAGUGAGCUGAAAAAUCGCGCGGCCCAACCGCGCCCCGCAGUUGAAACUGGACGCCUUGAGUGCGCAACAGGCAGGCGGAAUGCGUGGUGUAGCGGUGAAAUGCAUAGAUAUCACGAAGAACCCCGAUUGCGAAGGCAGCCUGCCGGGGUGCGACUGACGCUGAGGCUCGAAGGUGCGGGUAUCAAACAGGAUUAGAUACCCCGGUAGUC